GAUGAACGCUGGCGGCGUGCCUAAUACAUGCAAGUCGAGCGAACAGACGAGGAGCUUGCUCCUCUGACGUUAGCGGCGGACGGGUGAGUAACACGUGGAUAACCUACCUAUAAGACUGGGAUAACUUCGGGAAACCGGAGCUAAUACCGGAUAAUAUAUUGAACCUCAUGGUUCAAUAGUGAAAUACGGUUUUGCUGUCACUUAUAGAUGGAUCCGCGCCGCAUUAGCUAGUUGGUAAGGUAACGGCUUACCAAGGCAAGGAUGCGUAGCCGACCUGAGAGGGUGGUCGGCCACACUGGAACUGAGACACGGUCCAGACUCCUACGGGAGGCAGCAGUAGGGAAUCUUACGCAAUGGGCGAAAGCUUGACGGAGCAAAGCGGCGUGAGUGAUGAAGGUCUUCGGAUCGUAAAACUAUGUUAUUAGGGAAGAACAAAUGUGUAAGUAACUAUGCACGUCUUGACGGUACCUAAUCAGAAAGCCACGGCUAACUACGUG
RNAcentral lists this ribosomal RNA (497 nucleotides) under uncultured bacterium. RNAcentral's name for it is "partial 16S ribosomal RNA". It matches the Rfam family "Bacterial small subunit ribosomal RNA", at positions 28 to 507 of the family's 1533-position model. The record is from RNAcentral.